RNAcentral lists this ribosomal RNA (795 nucleotides) under uncultured bacterium. RNAcentral's name for it is "bacterial SSU rRNA". It matches the Rfam family "Bacterial small subunit ribosomal RNA", at positions 8 to 796 of the family's 1533-position model. The record is from RNAcentral.
AGAGUUUGAUCCUGGCUCAGAUUGAACGCUGGCGGCGUGCCUAACACAUGCAAGUCGAGCGGUAACAGGUGUAGCAAUACAUGCUGACGAGCGGCGAACGGGUGAGUAAUGCUUCGGAAUCUACCCUAUAGUGGGGAAUAACUAGCCGAAAGGUUAGCUAAUACCGCAUAAGUCCUACGGGAGAAAGCAGGGGAUCGCAAGACCUUGCGCUGAUGGAUGAGCCGAAGUCGGAUUAGCUAGUUGGUGAGGUAACGGCUCACCAAGGCGACGAUCCGUAGCUGGUCUGAGAGGACGACCAGCCACACUGGAACUGAGACACGGUCCAGACUCCUACGGGAGGCAGCAGUGGGGAAUAUUGGACAAUGGGGGCAACCCUGAUCCAGCGACGCCGCGUGUGUGAAGAAGGCCUGCGGGUUGUAAAGCACUUUUAGUGGGGAUGAAAGGUACUCGGUUAAUACCUGGGUACUCUGACCUAACCCACAGAAAAAGCACCGGCUAACUCUGUGCCAGCAGCCGCGGUAAUACAGAGGGUGCAAGCGUUAAUCGGAAUUACUGGGCGUAAAGCGUGCGCAGAUGGUUAUGUAAGUCGGGUGUGAAAGCCCCGGGCUCAACCUGGGAAUUGCAUUCGAGACUGCGUAGCUAGGGUGCGGAAGAGGGAAGCGGAAUUUCCGGUGUAGCGGUGAAAUGCGUAGAUAUCGGAAGGAACACCAGUGGCGAAAGCGGCUUCCUGGUCCAGCACCGACAUUCAGGCACGAAAGCGUGGGGAGCAAACAGGAUUAGAUACCCCCGUAGUCC